This is a long non-coding RNA of Pongo pygmaeus (Bornean orangutan), 13265 nucleotides long. RefSeq lists it as uncharacterized. The transcript has 4 exons. NCBI's taxonomy places the organism in Eukaryota, Metazoa, Chordata, Mammalia, Primates, Hominidae. The record is from RefSeq and is a predicted model, not a curated record.
AGCUCAUGCGAGCGACCCCCGGGCGGCGGCGGCGGAGCGGGAGCCGGAGCCCGAGCGGCGCGGGCGGCGGCGCAUCGAUGCGCUGCGGGCUCGAUUGCGUCUCCCUGGGCCAGCUCUCAGGCCGGGAAUGGGGCGGCCGCGACGGGGCCGGCUCCGGGCGCUGCCGGGCGGCGGCGGCUGGAGCGCGGGGGCGGCCUCCGGGCCCACUGUCCCCAAGGCGGCCCUGCGCCCUGGCGCUCCGGCUGGGGCUCUGGCGCUCUCGCGGGCCCCGAGGCCGACAGUCCCGGCGAGGGCGGGCGCCCCGCGCUCCGGCACCGGCUGCCUGAGCGCUCCUGGAGCAGCAAACCCCAGACUUCUUCCUCCUCUCCUUCCUUCCUUCCCCCCACUUAUCUUUUUCUUUUUUUAGUCUCUUUCUCUCUCUUUUUCUGCCCUGUGUCCUUUUUAUUUUUUCUCUACGACUGUUUUUGCAAGUUUGUUUCAAAAGUUCACAGCGUGCUUUCUUUUCUUUUAGACCGGGAGACAGUGAUCUCACCCACACGGUAAGAUCAAAAGUCUCCGCUCGCCCAGCCUGCGGGCUUGGGCUGGGUCCAGACGUCUCCCAGGAUGCAGAUGCGCCGCCGCUGGCCUCCCCGGCUAUAAAGCCGCCUCCAGCGCCUUUCCGCGCGCAGGAGCGCUCGGAGUUGUGGGGUGCGGACCCCAGGCGGGGCAGGGAGUCCGAAGCGGGCUGCGGCGGGGCUCUGGGGCUGGCGGACUCGGGGACUGAGGCGCCGUGCGCGUUGGGUGCCCGCCGCCGCAGAGGCCAGAACCGCUACUUCUCCAGGCCCGGGAGACGCGGCCGUGGAGCGUGAAACGCUUCUUGCAAGCGAGGAAACGGUGAGUUGGCCGACACCGCCGGCGGCCUCACCAUUCUGGUGGCCGCGCUGAGCUCCUGUCGCCUGGAGGCGGGUUGCGCCGCACGGGGUCAGCUCCCGCCGGCUCCCCGCUCACCUUCGAAGCUCCCACUUAGGCGCGCCCGGUGCGGCGUGUGCACAGCGCGGGGCGCCGCACACGGAAGCGUGGAGUUCUCCCUGGUCGCGCUUUUCUCCUCCUUUCCAUCCCCUCGCUGUUCUUGCAAACCUCUGUUCCCUCGGCCCCCUCCCACCGCGGGCCGCGGCCUGAACUCCGGUCUCCGCGUAGCCGGCCGCCGCCGUUGGUAGCUGCCUGGCCCUCCCCCGCUCAGGCGCCGAGGGCUGUGCGAUCCGCCCUAACAUCUGUCCGUCCAACCAUUGGCGCAUCCAUCAGUGUCAAUGGGCUGCACAUUGCAGCGACAGCCCGCCACGCACAACACGGGCUAUGCGGAGUGCACGCCGCAACCAUACUGCCAUGUCGGGACACGCAAAAAGGCCCCCGGCCUGUCUUGGCACAGCAUGAAUCCCUAAUCUGUGUUCUUUCAGCCACAUGUAUCCACUCCCACUUAAUAUCUGGACCCGGAAACAUGAAUAGUUUUGCAGGCCAUUCUAGGGAUGGAAUUGAAGGAAGAGGGGCAGUGUCGCCCGAGUCAUUAUUUUCCACCAGGUUUUCUCUGCCCUUCGGUGGGCUGGGUGUGGCUAGGAGAGAAGGAAGGAAGACUUCCCAAAUGCGCACCAAGCACACUGCAGAUCCGGAAGCUACCUGGAUGCAAGGGCUUAAACUCCCUUCACCUGGGCCUAGGAUGUGUCAUCGAGGUCGCUGGGCAGGUUUUAGCCAGGAGGUCUCGAGCUAAAACUUUUUGGCCCCGCCUGGCUGCUGGGAGACAUGGCCUGAUGGAGAGGAGCUGGAGAGCGGAGGAAAACGUUGAUCCCAGUGAGAACUAAGGGCCAGAUUUAGGGAGAAAUAGUGUCUGGAUGGCAGUAAGUCUGUAAUUCACAUGUUGUUUACAAAGGGAGAAAGGGCAGGGCUGUAGGUUUGAGAAGCCGGAGGUUUGCGCGGAGUUCCGUGUGCCCAUUCCCCGAGAGUGCCGCUCUUGGCUGUAGUUGUUUGUUCUACCUGAUUUUGCCUCUUGCCUUCAACUCCCCCAUAACCCCUCCCCAAAUGUCCGGAGGGCAAAUAUAUGCGCAUUCCUCCCUGAUCAAUCCAGCCAGACCAAAGGGCCUUCCCUCUCCUCCCCCUAAGAACUUAAUGGGAAGAGUGUACGGGGACCUACUCUUGGGACAUCUGCAGGGCGGCUGUACCAGGCAUUUUACCUGACUUUAUUCUUACCGCAAAGAUAUCUGUCUCGGUACCUGGUGCCCCCUCAGAGUCCACUACACAAACGGGUAAAAUUCCGCGCGGCUAUUCAUUUCGCCAUUUGCGAGUAACAAGGGGAAAAGUAGCCGCUUCUAGGAGAGCACUGAGGUAUGCUCGGUUCGGUUCCCGAGGAGGCCAGAAGCCGCCGCGGCGGCGCGGGCUGGAGCUCCCUCUUGCAGGGAGACACCGCGCUCUAGGGUGCGGGCUUCGCCGCCCACAUCCAGUGGUCGAACUGUUUUCACGCUAGACUAGAGGGCGGAAAAGUCUGCUCCCGCGGAGAAGCUAGAAUUCUAUGGAAUGUACACUGUGUAGAAAUCUUUUCACCCCACUCUUCAGAGUUGCAGCUUAUCUUUGAAAAACAACAGGCUCUGGCCCUGCAAGCCCCUGGUAACUUCUACCCGCCUGAGUCACUCUGAAAAGUAAGCCACCUAGGCCAGUGAGAUGUCCCCACCUUUGGCAGGUGCCGCGUUUCCGGGAACAUUAAAAAAAAAAACCCUAAAAAUAGAAGGAGGAAAAAUGAGCAAAGGCGGUGGGACGACUCACCGAAACACCGAGGUGCAAAUGUCCAUAGGAGAAACUGGCAUUCGCAUGGCAGCCAGGUGGCUCACCCAACAGCUGGGUGGUAACCUUGUGAUCCCCAAACAUCCCCCAGGGCCAUGAAGGCAGUGCUGACCCCCACGAUUGCACCUCAGGCCCAGUGGAAUCCCGCUCCUCCUCCAUAGCGGUGCUAUGUAAUCAGUAGAAAAUCAGUGGAAAAGCUCCCAAAUGAAGCUGCUACAGGUCAGGGGUUAGAAAUCUGCUUCCGACUUUUUGAACGCAAGGAAAUCGGGACACCUGUCCCCAGGGCUACCUGUGCCCCACCUCAGGAUCAUUCAUGACCUUAGCUACCGGGAGCCCCGCCCGGGUAAGUUUUUAAAAGAGAGAGAGAAAGAAAAAAGUCACAUGCAGGUGUGGCUAGGAACAGGUGUGUGCUGUGGGGACGGGCACUUGGCUGGCAACACACCACACAAAGUCACAAAGUCUGUGCCAGAAAGGAGUAGCCAGGCCACCGCCGGGAGGCAGCCGAGGUUGUGUUUGAGGUGGUGAUUGAGGGCAGUAGGUGACAGCUCGACCCAAACAAGGCCAAGUCUUGUCCUUAUCUGGGGUGGCCACUGAGGGAAAAGACUUAAGGGAAAGAAGGUGUCCUCAAAGCUACCAUUACAAGAUGAGGAGCUAGAGCGGGCUCCGGUCCCAGGCACCUAGGUCCUAAGCCUUGAUCUUGGAGAGUGGUUCUCGGAGGGAGGCUUGGGCCACCUGGAGGGACUGCGCACACUGAGUAGUACCCUCUGGGAGGCUGUACCCCCUUUCAAAGUGUGAGGGCAUUUGCCCAGGGUGUAGACUUUUAGGGAGCCCAGGGCUGGGCAGCACCAGGGUAGAGAGGCACCAGGUGGGUGCCCUCCUGCCUGCACUCACCUGGAAUGCUGGCAUAUGGGUUUUUCGCCUUCCUCACGCCUCCCCACACCACAUUCUGGGCUAGGCAGUGUCGAGGAGGUGCCUUGGGUUCAGGGAAGCUUGCCACCUGCGCACCUCAACCAGGAAUUGGGCCCCAGAAUCUCAGCCCCUGCCCAAACAGGAAGGAUAGGGACCCUGGCCCUCGCCAGGUGGUAAAUUGUUUGCUAAAAGUGCAUUUACACAGCGGCGAAGUUUGUUUCUCUUUUACCGGUAGCUUUGUUUUAACGAACCAGAUGUUUUGUCUGUAAAUUCUCCCAAGAACUUUUACAGUUUUGACGUGAAAUAAACCUUCGAAAAUCAGAAGAGUAUAUUAAUACCAGUUCUGUGGGGCCUCAGGAGAGCUGAGUCAGGUGUGCCUGGAUGGGAGCUGGGGGUGGGAAUACAAUCUUUGGAGAGAAGUAGGGGGCUUCUCUUGGCCCAAGGUCAAGAAUUGGUUUGGGGGAGGUGAAGUGCCUCCCCGACUCCCAAAACAGGCACACACACACGCAUUGUCACACCAGAGUAUGCACUCCCAGACCUCCUCCAACCAGGCAUAGCUUGCUACUUUGUAAAUUUCUUGUGGCUUGGGGCACAGAGAUGUGGCUCAACUUUGCAGACUGUGUCCACUGCAUGCCGCUGCCGUUUUCCACGAGGACCGCCUGACUGAAAGGCAAAGGGGCCUUCGAUCUUCUUCCCGGGGCAGCUUUGAUGCCUGAGUGUGCGGGGCCGGGGCCAGGGCAGAGCAGGGUGGAAGCUGGUGCCCCUGUCUGGCCCGCCCUUAACUCCUGGGCACAACUAGAUUCGGGAGAACUUGGGGUGGAAGCCGACCUGGUCUAGGAAGCCACAGCCUGCAGGCUUCCCUCUCCAAUGCCUCAUUUUUUCCGAUUUAGGAUUUCCAGGCAGUUAUAAACACCUUUAAAAAAAAGACCCACUUAACAAUACACCUAAAAGAGGGAGGGAAGGAAGGAAGGAGUACAGUUAUCACAGGCGUGUGGGGAGAGGGAAACCAGGUCUGCCUAGAAACCCACCUUCUGGUUGUGUGAGUCAGAGCGGCCACUUUCUCGGGUUUCCCAAGACAGGAGAUGGCGAUUUUCUACUCCCUCCCCUCUCCCCAAGAUUUCCAGUGCUCUGAGUCUCGUAUCUUCAGAUACCUCUUUCUUCCUUCAUUCUCUUUCGUUCAAUCAUCUACGGAACUUUCCAAAACUUUUUUUUUAGGAGAGCAAAGAUUAAAUAAAGAAAAUAAACCGUCUUUGUAUUUCAGUCUAAGGAGGACAGAUGCACAUUAAACUCAGUUUGGAGCGCUUAACUCCAGGCGAAAUGCCCUUUUAUCAAAUCCCACGCGUCGACUUGGGUUGCGCUGGGAAUUUCACGAAUUCCUCGCUGCAGCGUGGCGUGGUUUACCCCCACCCCCACCCCACUUUGGGUGAAAUGGAUUUUUGGAAACCAUUUAAGCAGAGCUAAAAAUAAGGAGGGGGGGAACCCUACACUAGAGAUAGCUGCAGCCACCUAGGGGCUCACCCCUGGCCGGGAGCGAGCAGCUAUUUGCUAGUUGUAGCUCAGGGGUGCCCAACUCUUCCCGUGUGGUUGCGCCAGCUGCCUCGCACUGCAGGUAUCUGAAUCAUUACGUGGGCAACCCGAUGCAGCUCUGAACCCUGGCUCUUUGAAUGCUGGAAUCCUGAAGGAGGAGGAGGUCCCAGAAAUCAAACCACCAGGUCUUAGCUGACCAGACAGCCCAGCUUUCUGAGGCUGGUGACCUCAUUAACUGGUCAAGGAAUUUGCAAGACCAGGAAGAAUCUCGUUUCCCAGUUCUUCUUUCCUACAUUGCUUUUCUCCUGUGUCUUCAAUGUUAGGGUUUUGUGUUUGUGCCUGAAUUUACAAUUUACAAACGGGGAAGACAGAGCCUAAGUUUCAGCAGGGCAGGUACAAAAGAGAGGGACAACACUCUGGGGGCCUCAUUCUUUCACGUUUUUGUUUCUUGAAAUUUGAUGGAUAUCACCUGUAGUUGGGCAAUAGGAGGGCCAGGGUGACUGGGGACGUGGUAGCCCGAAGGGUUAGAUAAUAUGGCAUGCAGGUAGUCUCUGAUCUCCAGGGCUUUGAAAACACCAAGAUUUUCCUCCUUUGCAGAGCAAUCCUAAAUUCUGCCUUCUCCCUUUUCUGCUGCCUCUUCUCUUUUCCCCAUCUCUUUCUGCGUUUCUUUUUCUGUUUUCUUUUUGUGUCCCUCUCUUCCAACAGUCCCUCCUCCACCUUUAUAAGACUUCUCAAAGGUUAUUUAUUUAAGGUCUACCAAGUGCUAGCCCCAAACAGGUCCAGUCCUUCUCCCUGUGGCAAGACGGAGGCUGUUACUGCGUGCAAAUAGUGAGGGAACAAAGUAGUUUGGAGUUUUUUUCCAGCUUUUUUAGGUGGGGGGAAGGGAGGGAGGUCAGAAAUAGGUUGACACUUGGUUUGAAAUAAAAGAACAUGUUAAGAAGUUUCGAAGCUGCCAAUAAAACCCUUUAAGUGGCUUGUGAUUCAGUGCCUGGAGUUGCGGGGAUGGCAUUGGUAAAUGACUCUAAUGCCCAAAGAAAAAUAUUACAAAUGCCGCUGUCUCAGCCACCAAUCGGGCGCCGCUCUCCUGCGCGGGCGAUGGCUCCUCUCUGGCGCGGAGGGCACCCACAUUUGCAUGAUAAAUUGACCAGACUGGCGGCAGCCAAUGAAAUAUUCAAAUUAGGCCGGGUGGCGGUAGUAGGGGUGGAGUCCCUGGGGCUGCCCCUUGGCGUGGCGGCGGGAGCGGGCGCUACCACCUGUCCGUCAGCGCCCUCUGGAGGCGGGACAGCGCGGGCGGCCGCUCUGGCCCAAAAGACGAGAUGGGGGGUUGGGGGUUUGGGAUGGAAGGGGGUUUGGGAGGGGUGAUGGUGGGGUCCGGGUGGUGCUUCGCGGCCCCAGGAGGCUUUCCGGCUGGCCUUGUGGACUAGGCAUACAGCAGGGUCUCCACAUGCCUCUUGCCCUUAAAAGUGUUGAUGGAUUGCAGAAGUGGAUGGUGACCCCAAGGAGGGGUUUCAGAAAGACUCCAGCCUCCUUCACCCAACCACCUUCUCUAGGUUCCCCUAACAAACCCAGUACUUAAGUUAAAAUCGUGUAUUUGCUCUUGGUGACUUAGCUUUAAGACAAGAUUCUUGCCCACCGCAGACCACAUGGCCAGCUUUCCCAAAGGCCCUCUGAUAAUGAAAUGAUGGAGCAGAUAUGUCAAACUUUCCAUCUUGCCCUGAGCCAACGACUCUGCACCCUCACAGGCCAGGGCACUUUGGAGGGCACCCUGCCUGGAGCCCCAAACCUUGGCUAAGCUGUGGGAGCCCAGGCAGGGGCAGGUAGUGCCUGGAGGCUGGCUUCAGAUGGCAGAACUUCUCACCUGGGAAAAUGCUUUCUGGAAGAAGCACCCAGGCCUCAAGGCAGCUCCAGUGAGGGGGCAAAAAGGGAUAUACAUAAGGCAUAAGGUGCUGGCCAUGGUUAGGUAGGUGCUCAGCCAGGAAGAUAGGGCAGAUUCACAUGGGGGAGAUUGGCUCGGUGAUGAGACCACUUCUGAUCCCACCAGAACCAGGCCCAGCUCUUCCUGGAGGUCCUGACUUAAAGGGGACUUUUGCAUGGGAGCCAAAGAACAGUGGAUGUCUCUUGUCUGCUGAUCAUCUCUUCCCUUCCCCCACCCCAUAUUCCAUCCCAUGCCAGAUCCCUAGGCUGUGCCUGUUAGAGCUACUGGAGCACCACACGGACUUGCCUUUAAAGCAGAAUUUUUAGAAGUGCAGUUGCCUUUCUUUACUCUGCUGUGGGCUGCUGAACACCUUGUUCUUUCUCCAUCUCAUCAGGGCUUGGAGUUGGUUCCUAGCUGUCUCUGGGAAUGCUCGAUCCCCAUCUCUGUUACCAGCCAAAAGGGUCUGCAGGAGGUGGUCUGCACUCCAGUCAGCAGCCCUCUCAGUACCUCUUCCCCAGACAUAGUCAAAGCAAGUCAUUCAUCUGCAGCCAGUCUCCCCUGUCCAUUCACCAAGGAGAGCCUGGGGAUAGGACCACUCAGAGCCUGGCCAGGCUGGCUCACUAACUGUGUGUAAAUACGCACAGCAGAAAGAGUAGGUGCUGAACACACAUGUGGGAGACAGUGAAUUUUUACUCUCAAUCACCUUAUAUAUAUUAUCAAUAGUUUCAAAGUAUGUUGCCCGAAGGAUGUUAAUUCCUAAGAAGGCUUUUGUAUCGUUUGGAGUUUUGAGGAGUGUGUUGGCUGAAGAGAAGAGGGUCUGGCCCCAGGCUUGAUGGGAAUGCAUGGGGUAAACAGCUGGUGACAGAGGUACAAAAGGGGCCUCUCUACUUACUAAGAGAAUCUUCCAUCCUGGCUGGUUUUAGGACCUGGGGUGGGGUUCCCAUCAGGAGGAGACCUAAGGAAGGAGUAGGACCCUUCCUAGAUGGCUGAGUCAACUUAUACGACAGGGCAGGGAAACCUGUCUUGGAAGCCCGGGAGCCCUCCUUCCUCCUCCCCAUCCUCAGGCCUCAACUGAGACUUGAAAAUGGACCAGAGUCUUCCUCCAACAGUGAAAUUCAUUAAAGAGUCACUCCUGUCUAGAAUGUGCAGAAAUGCAAGCCUCUCUCUUUCUCUCUCUCUCUCUCUGUUUCUCCACCUUGAGGAUGCUGUAUCUAGAGCCCAUAUAGGGACAAGAAAGUAGGCAGUGAAAGCAGGAAAGAAGUAGAAGGCUGGCUGUCAUCCAGCCCUGCAUCCAGUCGUAUCUCAGCUGAACUGUGCACAAUGAAUGAGGAAGUAAAUGACAGGUGAAAGACCAAGAGAGUGAAGCUAGUCAGUUUCUCUGAGGCGAUAGGUAUCAGUGAGUAACCGUAAGGAUCACACCCACAGUGGGUAUGCCCCGCAGAUGGAUAUAUGUGCAGCAAGCGGUACCUUGCAGGGGAAUGCAAGCUCCAACUGUGGUGAUGAGCCUCCGGCCCAUAAGUAACCCAGUGAGCCUGAGCAGGUCACUCACUCUCUUUGAACCUUGUCUCCAUCUCUAAAACAGGACAGCUUUCUCCAUCUUAAACACCAAGUAGGAAUUCAGUGUGGAAACCUUCCAUCAAAAUUGGAGAUGCCUUGGCUGGGCCCUGUGGUGGCUCAUGCCUGUAAUCCCAGCACUUUGGGAGGCUGAGGCAGGCAGAUCACUUGAGUCCAGGAGUUUGAGACCAGCCUGGGCGACAUGACAAAACCACAAAAAAUACAAAAAUUAGCUGGGCAUGGUGGCAUGCACCUGUAAUCUCAGCUACUUGGGAGGCUGAGGCAGGAGGAUCGCUUGAGCCUGAAAGGUUGAGGCUGUAGUGAACCGAGAUCGCACCACUGCACUCCAGUCUGGGCAACAGAGUGAGACCCUGUCUCAAAAAAAAAAAAAAGUAGAGAAAUAGAGAUGCCCCUUGAACCCAUGGGUUUUUGGGACUACAUUCUGGAAGCUUUCAGAGUAAGACCAGAGUUUGAAAGAGGCAUUGUGUCAUUAGCCAUGUGCCCGUGGGCAAGUCACAGUAGAGUCUACUUCCCACGGCACUUGUGAGGCUCAUCUGGGAUUAUGUGUGUCCGUGCCUUGGCAGAGAGCUUGGUGAAGAAUGGUAGUUGUCCAAUAAAUGGUACCCCAUUAAGUUGGUGUGCAGGGUGGCCACAGGGCCAGACCACCCUGAAAAUAAAGGCUUAUAUUUGGGCUGAGCCUGGAUGCACCUGAGAUUACAAGCAGGUGCUUGGAAUGUGGUGAAAAAGAAAGACAGGAGAGAAUGGCUGAAGGCAGCGUGCAGUCCACCUGACUUUCUGGGAAGAUUGGGCAUUUGCAGGGCUGAUAAGUCAGGUUCUUCCAGGCCUUUCUGUGAGCUCAUUAGAGGAAGGGGUCUGGUGACUGAUAUUUCUAUUUUCCCUGUUAGUAGCUGCUGGAAUCUGCACCAUCCAGGUCAGAUGGAAAAUAGAAGGCGGGAAAAUCUGACAGUCUCAUUGAUUUGCUCUCUUUGCCAUCGCCACUCUUGAGAGGAAGAAAUGUGACUUCAAAAUUGCAAUUAGGAACCAGCCUGCUAAGGAGUCCUCUCAUGAGCUCCUGUGCUGUGCGGAGCACAGGCCCAUCUCAUCUCAUUUCCUAAGGAGACUUAACCAUGUGGAUUUGUGUUGCUGGUUCACGAUCAAAGUUCUAGACUAUGAAAACAUUAGUUUCAUGAAAACAUUAGGAUUUUGUCCACCCAAUUGUUUGGAUAUCAUGAAGAAUGCCGCUGUGAACAUGCUUGUUCCUAUGCCAUAACUCACAUGGAUGAAGAAGAUGAGGCUUGAGAGACGAAGGAAUGAAUGAAGGGUAUCACAGCUGUUAGAAGGGUUAGAUCUUGUAUUUGGACUCAGGUAUGCCUGCCCUGGAACUUGGCUCUCCCACACCUGGUGCUGGGCGCACUAGGAGACGUCACGAGGCUCAGAGAUGCCACCCUUCCUAGAACGGGCGCUGUGCCUCUCUUCUCCACACACUGCAGGGGGGACAGGCACUGCAUUUUCAGAUAAGUUCUGUGUGCAUCAGGGGCUUGGUGGGAAAGAGAGGACACACUCAGAUUAGGAUUAUUCAUGGAGGAUUCUCCAAAGAGGCUAUUUGGAAAGGUGGAGGGAACGGUGAAGGAGAGCACAAGAGAAAAUGAGCAGAACCGUUACUUCCUCACGCCUGAAGGGGAUGGGUUACUGGAAGCCAGGAGGAGAGUGUGGUAAGAGCCACUUUUAGAGGAGCUUUCACCUUCAGGAGAAAGUCAGGGCCCAAGAAGACCCACAGGGAGGUGACCAGGGAAUGGCAUACUUGGACUACCCUCUCUUCUCUUCCUCCACUCUCCUGCCAGGGCUCCGCAUUGGAUAAACCCCUGCAGGGGUGAGUGAAACUGCCACCCAGGUCUGCCUCCCAGGACACAGCCCAUGGAGAACUCUAAGGCAAGUGGCAGAAAACUAGCACAGGCGCAGUGCGUCUUGCAAAGCACCCAGCCUGUGCCGGCUCUGGGCUGGAAAUGGGAAGAGAGGAGACCAUAGCACUGCCCUCAAAGAUCUUAGAGUCUGUGGAGGAGUCAGGCAGAGAGAGGGGGUGUUCCCUUGGCAAAGGACUCCAUGAGCAGAUGCAGGCCAUGGGCGACGCUCCUGCAGAAGCUUUGGGGUUUGCCGCAUGUGCCUGGGAGGAGCGCGCCCACCUUGACAUGCCUCGCCUCCUGUUGCCAUUGACAACGUGAAGGCAAACUCCUGGGGCUGGGCCUUUUUCCUUGAGAUAAAAUAUGUAUAAUUCUCUGUUAUCAAAUGAUUAUUAAACAAAAUCUAAUUGAAAAAAUAAAAAGAAGAAAAGAGAAGUCAUUUAUCAUCCUGUUCUCCAAAGACAACUGUGAACGGCUUGGUGGAACUCCUUCCAGUGGCUUUCCUCGGAGCCUUGCCUCUGUGGAUGUGAUGGAGUCUUGCUUUGUCACCAAGGCUGGAAUGCAGUGGCGCGAUCUCAGCUCACUGCAGCCUCCACCUCCUGAGUUCAAGCUGUCCUCCCACCUCAGCCUCCUUCAAUAGCUGUGACUACAGGUAUGCACCACCAUGCUGGACUAAUUUUUGCAUUUUUUAGUAGAGACGGGAUUUCACCAUGUUGGCCAGGCUGGUCUUGAACUCCUGACCUCAGGUGAUCUGCCCGCUUCGGCCUCCCACAGUGCUGGGUUUACAGGCAUGAGCCACCACGCUCAGCCUUCUACCGUUUAAAUGUUUAGGUUAUAUCCUGUUUCAUUAAUAUUAAAGAAUGCUAUAAUUAAAAACUUUGUGUAUAAAGAAUUUUUCCGUGUUUCAGAUUAUUUAUCCAGAAUGAUGUCUCUAAAAUAAAGCUACUAGAGGUUGAAGUAUCUAGCCCAGGGCCAGCCACAGAACAGACACAACUUGGUUGAUAACUAUUGUUGUUCAGUGGUGAGUGUUUAUGUAAAGCUCUUCUGCAAUUAAGAACUGCUCCAAAGACCUUCCUCUAGAACAGCGCUUGAAUAUAAUGUGAGCCACGUAAUUCUCAAUGUUAUAAUAACCACAUUUCAAAAAGCAGACGCAAUUGAAAUUAAUUUUAAUAAUACCUUUUACUGGAGCCGGGCAUGGUGUCAUGCCUGUAAUCCCAGCACUUUGGGAGGCCGAGGUGGGCAGAUCACAUGAGCCCAGGAGUUUGAGACCAGGCUGAGCAACAUGGCAAAGCCUCAUCUCUACAGACAAACACAAAAAUUAGCCAAACAGGUGGUGUGUGGCUGUAGUCCAAGCUACUAGGGAGGCUGAGGUGAGAGGAUCGCUUGAGCCUGGGGGGUUAAGGCUGCAGUGAGCCAAGAUUGCACCACCAUACCCCAACCUGAGUGACAAAGUAAGACCCUGUCUCAAAAAAAAAAAACCAUUAAUUAAUUAAAACAAACAUAAAAAUACAUUUUACUUAACCAAUUAUAUCUAAAAUAUUAUUUCAACAUAUGAUUAUAUGUAAUCAACAUAAAAUUUAUCAAUGAGAUAGUCUACAUUUUUUCCCCAUGUAAACCUUUGAAAUCUGAUGUAUAGAUUUUAUGCUUACAACACAGCUCCAUUCAAACCAGCCUCAUUCCCAGUGUUCAGUGGCCACGUGGGUGGCUGAUAGCCACUGUGGACUGUGCAGGUCUAGGGCAAGGAACCCACCAGAGAUAUUUGCCACUGUUGGCAUCUUCACCUAGCCCUGAAAUCCAGCCACCUUUUAAUGCCUCCCCGAACCCCCUUACUGGCGUUCUGGACUGAGGGUGGACCAGGUGGCCAGGUGUGACAUGACUUCUGUACCUGGACAUUUUUACCGGUCGUCCUCAAUCCUGCCUUGACCUUGGCCUUAGCCAAUCAAAGCAUCCCUCUAUCCCAGUGUGCCUGGCACUGGUUCAUUCAGAGAUAUUGCACACUUCCUUCAUGGUAAGCCCUGGGCCUGACCCUAGGGAUACAGGUGGACAAACAGAACUUUCUUGUAAAAUUUAAUUACAGAACUUGUCAGUGCUUUUAGGGUCUAGUGGGGGAGACAGACUUUAAUCAAAUCAUUGCCCAAAUAUAUAUAGUUUCUAAAUGUGGUUAAGUCCUACAAGGGAAAUGCACUUUUAAAAAUGCUAACACUGGGUCAUGGCAUGAGUGGCCUGCCCUGAAGGCAUUUAAUAAAGGUGGCCCAGCCCCUGGCCAGGCUGUCUUGGGGAACAUUCAUGUGAAAGAUGAGUGUGAGAUAAGAGGAUCUCAGUUUCCUUCUGGUAUCCAGGGUCCCUAAGCUACAUUAACAGAGUUUCUAGGACAGACAGUAGCUCACCGGUUCCUGUGUCUGGGGCCCAGUUGAGCAAUUUGUGUUUGUCAUCUCUAAAAAGUAUUGCGGCCAGCUGGAAUAUAAAAGUAAUGAGGAAACAGGCCUGAUGCGGUGGCUCACGCCUGUAAUCCCAGCACUUUGGGAGGCUGAGGUGGGCGGGGGAUCACCUGAGGUCAGGAGUUCGAGAUGAGCCUCACCAACAUACUAAAACCUGUCUCUACCGAAAAUACAAAAUUAGCCGGGCAUGGUGGCACACACCUGUAAUCCCAGCUACUU